Long non-coding RNA from Propithecus coquereli (Coquerel's sifaka), 221 nucleotides. RefSeq lists it as uncharacterized. The transcript is spliced from 3 exons. NCBI's taxonomy places the organism in Eukaryota, Metazoa, Chordata, Mammalia, Primates, Indriidae. The record is from RefSeq and is a predicted model, not a curated record.
AAAAUUGUAUUUUUUCAAUUGCCUUCCCGACUCCUUUCAAAUCAAGAGUACGUCUUGUAGCAGUUUCAAAGGAAGUUCUAGAAGAUAUUUUGGACCUUGAUUUAUCUGUGUCAAAAACAGAUGAUUUUAUCCAGCUUGUAAGUGGCAAAAAGAUAGUGUUUGGAUCCAUUCCAUUGGCCCACCGAUACGGGGGCCACCAGUUUGGGAUAUGGGCAGAUCAG